Molecule: unclassified non-coding RNA, 335 nt
Filed under: soil metagenome
Description: partial contains 5.8S ribosomal RNA, internal transcribed spacer 2, and large subunit ribosomal RNA
Rfam family: 5.8S ribosomal RNA (bases 1-120)
Source: RNAcentral
GAUGAAGAACGCAGCGAAAUGCGAUAAGUAGUGUGAAUUGCAGAAUUCAGUGAAUCAUCGAAUCUUUGAACGCACAUUGCGCCCCUUGGUACUCCCUGGGGCAUGCCUGUUCGAGCGUCAUUUACACCCUCAAGCUCAGCUUGGUGUUGGGCGUCUGUCCCGCUUCGUGCGCGGACUCGCCUCAAAUGCAUUGGCAGCGGUCUUGCCAGCUUCUCGCGCAGCACAUUGCGCUUCUAGAGGCUUUGGCGGAUCGGCGUCCAUCAAGUACACCCACAGUUUGACCUCGGAUCAGGUAGGGAUACCCGCUGAACUUAAGCAUAUCAAUAAGCGGAGGA